AUGCUCACUUCAGCAGCACAUGUGCUAAAAUUGGAAUGACACAGGAAGAUUAACAUGUUCGCUGUGCAAGGAUGACAAGCAUUGCCUCUUCGUGUAUUCCACUCUAUU
Small nuclear RNA from Ochotona princeps (American pika), 108 nucleotides. Lineage: Eukaryota; Metazoa; Chordata; Mammalia; Lagomorpha; Ochotonidae. The record is from RefSeq and is a predicted model, not a curated record.